UAGGGAAUAUUAGUAAUGGGCGAAAGCCUGAACUAGCAACGCCGCGUGUGCGAAGAAGGCCUUCGGGUUGUAAAGCACUUUUUGAGAGGAUGAGGAAGGACGGUACUCUCAGAAUAAGUCUCGGCUAACUACGUGCCAGCAGCCGCGGUAACACGUAGGAGGCGAACGUUAACCGGAUUUACUGGGCGUAAAGCGCGUGUAGGUGGUUUGGUAAGUAGGGCGUGAAAGCUCCUGGCUCAACUGGGAGAGGCCGUUCUAAACUGCCGAACUAGAGGAUGGUAGAGGGAGGUGGAAGUCCGGGUGUAGCGGUGGAAUGCGCAGAUAUCCGGAGGAACACCAGUGGCGAAAGCGGCCUCCUGGACCACUCCUGACACUCAGACGCGAAAGCUAGGGUAGCAAACGG
RNAcentral lists this ribosomal RNA (403 nucleotides) under uncultured bacterium. RNAcentral describes it as "bacterial SSU rRNA". It matches the Rfam family "Bacterial small subunit ribosomal RNA", at positions 355 to 775 of the family's 1533-position model. The record is from RNAcentral.